AACAGGGUCAGACAGUGUUUGACAAUAUGACAGUUAUUAAGGGUUUAAACUGGUGUUCUAAGAGGGGGGGGGGGGAACAAAACAGUCAAACUAAGUCCAUAAAACAGGGGUUUUCUUCACACUCUGCAUCCGAAGUGCAUAGCAAAACUGCAGAUCCUUUGUCAGAGCAUUUAAAGGGCCAGAACCAGUCUCAUAAAAUCCACUAUGCCCAAAUAACGUAUUUAAAGGGCAAAAUCUUCUAGGGGCCAUAGUC
Molecule: non-coding RNA, 253 nt
Organism: Pelobates cultripes (western spadefoot toad)
Lineage: Eukaryota; Metazoa; Chordata; Amphibia; Anura; Pelobatidae
Source: the annotation of a GenBank genome assembly